GACGAACGCUGGCGGCGUGCUUAACACAUGCAAGUCGAACGGAAAGGCCCUGCUUUUGUGGGGUGCUCGAGUGGCGAACGGGUGAGUAACACGUGAGUAACCUGCCCUUGACUUUGGGAUAACUUCAGGAAACUGGGGCUAAUACCGGAUAGGAGCUCCUGCUGCAUGGUGGGGGUUGGAAAGUUUCGGCGGUUGGGGAUGGACUCGCGGCUUAUCAGCUUGUUGGUGGGGUAGUGGCUUACCAAGGCUUUGACGGGUAGCCGGCCUGAGAGGGGGACCGGCCACAUUGGGACUGAGAUACGGACCAGACUCCUACGGGAGGCAGCAGGGGGGAAUAUUGCACAAUGGGCGGAAGCCUGAUGCAGCAGCGCCGCGUGCGGGAUGACGGCCUUCGGGUUGUAAACCGCUUUCGCCUGUGACGAAGCGUGAGUGACGGUAAUGGGUAAAGAAGCACCGGCUAACUACGUG
RNAcentral lists this ribosomal RNA (468 nucleotides) under uncultured bacterium. RNAcentral describes it as "partial 16S ribosomal RNA". It matches the Rfam family "Bacterial small subunit ribosomal RNA", at positions 28 to 507 of the family's 1533-position model. The record is from RNAcentral.